This 482-nucleotide ribosomal RNA is filed under the name uncultured bacterium. RNAcentral's name for it is "bacterial SSU rRNA". It matches the Rfam family "Bacterial small subunit ribosomal RNA", at positions 28 to 507 of the family's 1533-position model. The record is from RNAcentral.
GAUGAACGCUAGCGGGAGGCCUAAUACAUGCAAGUCGAGCGGUAUAGAGACUUCGGUUUCUAGAGAGCGGCGCACGGGUGAGUAACGCGUACAUGACCUACCUUCAAGCCUGGGAUAGCCCUGGGAAACUGGGAUUAAUACCGGAUGUGAUAAUAAGUUUGGAUAUUUAUUAUUAAAGUUACGGCGCUUGGAGAUGGGUGUGCGUCUGAUUAGCUAGUUGGCGAGGUAACGGCUCACCAAGGCGACGAUCAGUAGGGGGCGUGAGAGCGUGACCCCCCACACGGGUACGUGAGACACGGACCCGACUCCUACGGGAGGCAGCAGUAAGGAAUAUUGGUCAAUAGGGCGAAAGACCUGAACCAGCCAUCCCGCGUGCAGGAUGAAGGUCCUAUGGAUUGUAAACUAGCUUUUAUCAGGGAAGAAACGCCUUCAUUCAUGAGGGUCUGACGGUACCUGAGGAAUAAGCACCGGCUAACUCCGUG